GGCCGGUUGAUGAUUUUAAAUUAAAUGGAAUUACCGUCUGAUUCUAUCUGAAGAGAAAUGGCUGCCUGACGGCUCAU
RNAcentral lists this small nucleolar RNA (77 nucleotides) under Volvox carteri f. nagariensis. Lineage: Eukaryota; Viridiplantae; Chlorophyta; Chlorophyceae; Chlamydomonadales; Volvocaceae. The record is from RNAcentral.